RNAcentral lists this ribosomal RNA (139 nucleotides) under Amanita roseolamellata. RNAcentral's name for it is "partial 28S ribosomal RNA". It matches the Rfam family "Eukaryotic large subunit ribosomal RNA", at positions 1 to 137 of the family's 3401-position model. The record is from RNAcentral. Lineage: Eukaryota; Fungi; Basidiomycota; Agaricomycetes; Agaricales; Amanitaceae.
UUGACCUCAAAUCAGGUAGGAUUACCCGCUGAACUUAAGCAUAUCAAUAAGCGGAGGAAAAGAAACUAACAAGGAUUCCCCUAGUAACUGCGAGUGAAGCGGGAAAAGCUCAAAUUUAAAAUCUGGCAGUCUUUGGCUG